This 386-nucleotide ribosomal RNA is filed under the name Shigella sonnei. RNAcentral's name for it is "bacterial SSU rRNA". It matches the Rfam family "Bacterial small subunit ribosomal RNA", at positions 1 to 383 of the family's 1533-position model. Lineage: Bacteria; Pseudomonadati; Pseudomonadota; Gammaproteobacteria; Enterobacterales; Enterobacteriaceae. The record is from RNAcentral.
AAAUUGAAGAGUUUGAUCAUGGCUCAGAUUGAACGCUGGCGGCAGGCCUAACACAUGCAAGUCGAACGGUAACAGGAAGCAGCUUGCUGCUUCGCUGACGAGUGGCGGACGGGUGAGUAAUGUCUGGGAAACUGCCUGAUGGAGGGGGAUAACUACUGGAAACGGUAGCUAAUACCGCAUAACGUCGCAAGACCAAAGAGGGGGACCUUCGGGCCUCUUGCCAUCGGAUGUGCCCAGAUGGGAUUAGCUUGUUGGUGGGGUAACGGCUCACCAAGGCGACGAUCCCUAGCUGGUCUGAGAGGAUGACCAGCCACACUGGAACUGAGACACGGUCCAGACUCCUACGGGAGGCAGCAGUGGGGAAUAUUGCACAAUGGGCGCAAGCC